Molecule: RNA transcript, 5829 nt
Organism: Cryptotermes secundus
Lineage: Eukaryota; Metazoa; Arthropoda; Insecta; Blattodea; Kalotermitidae
Source: RefSeq, a predicted model, not a curated record
UUUGCACGACAACGAGCUGUGAAGGGGAAACAGGUUGUUCUAAAGGUAGAAAAACGUGGAGAACCACAGGGUGCAACACAGUCCACUGUGUCAGCACAAACGGAGAUCCAUGCCUCAAAAUUAAUGACAUAUUCAGAAAGGGAUUUGAAGAAGAAACAUGGUAAACCCAGUAGCAAAUCAGUCUCAAAGGCAAGAUCCGGAGAUAAAGUUAGAAGUGGCAUGACCCACUUGUCAACAGAAGAAAGAAAAGCAAAGGGUGAAGAGAGUAGCUUAUCAAAUGAAAUUAGUAAAAAAUUGGCAUGCAUCAUGAAACUAGAAACAGAUAAGCGGAAGAGGACCAAAAUUGAGAAGGAUGACUCACCACCACCAUGGUUCAAGAAGUACAUGCAGAAGUUCAAGAAUGAAAUUGUAGCAGAAAUUACAACAAAUGUGAUGUACAAUACAAGACAGGUGUUAGAGAGUACCAAGGCUAGCACUCACCCCUCAUGUUGCUGUAUUGAGAGGAAAAGUGGGUUAGUGGCUGCUACCAAGAGCAAAAAGAAAAAGAGUUCUGAUGAAGAUUCUUCAGAUGGUGGCUUGAGCAAUGACCAAAGGGAUCAUAAACUGCUGAAGAAAAUAGAAAAACUUCAUAAACGAGAAAAGAAACUUGAAAAGAAACUGGACUCGAAACUUGAGAAGUUGGAGAACAAAACAAAGCGAAGAAUGGAGAAGAAAUCCCAGAGUAAAUCACGCCCUGAGCGGCCUUCUGAGAAGAUCUGCGGAGGCACAAGGAAGAAAAUGAGUGACGGGCCUGUGGGUACAUAUUUGAUGGAUGCUAUACUACUGAAUGAUGGACACAGACCUACAGAGACGCAUAUCAGGCUAGGAGAACGUUUUACAAAAGUGUGGGAGAUCAUGAAUAAUGGUACUCUCCCGUGGACUGAUAAGACUGAGCUUCGGUUGGCGUGGGGAUCUUCUGGUCUGCAACCCAAAGCAACAGUUCUGAAGUGUCCAAUUUUAAUGCCUGGAGAAAAGGGUAUAAUUGCUGUUACUUUCCAAGCACCAGAAUUCCCUGGGACAUUUGAAUCUUACUGGCACUUUUACCACAUGGGAGUGAGGUUUGGACAUUGGUUGGGUUGUGCUGUUAUUGUGGAUUCAAAAGAACGUGAGAAAGAAGUAACAAAUGUGAGACCAGCUGAUCGACAUGAAUCAGUUCAUGACAGUGAGAAUAAUAAUGAUAAAGAAAUGUCAAAGACCAAAGCAGAUCAGCCUGUCGAUUUGAGAAAGAAGUAUGAACCCAACCAAGUGGUGGGCUCCUCAGCCACCCAGUCCGUGGCUGGAACAGAUGAUGCAUAUGAGACGAUGAGUGAAGAUAAGGCAGCAUCCACAGAGAAGGGAAAAGAUGAAACCAAGGAGAGAAGUGCUGAAUAUGAAAGUGACUCAGAUGAUGAAAACCUAAGUAUCAUCUCGGGCACUAUUUCUAUCACUUCGGAUUCUGAAGAAGACGAGAACUUUGUGUUAGUACCAGUGCCACCCUGUUUCAUCUGUGAUGUGCCACUGGAAGAGUCGGGCAUAAUCACUGACCUGGGAAAAGAACAGCUGAAGUCAGAGAAUGAUAAACCUGACGUACAGACUGACUCGGAACCGAAUUCAUUUCAUAUGUUAAAUAGCAGUGCAGUGAAUGUUCCAUGCACUCUUAAUAUAGAUUUUGGAACAACAACAACAGAGGAUGGGCAGAAAUCUGACCGUGAAGUUGAAGAUGGGACAACACCAGACAUAAGUAAAGAAACUUGCUCACAUGAAGUACCUGUGUCACCUGUGUACCUGUCUGAAUAUAUUAUGUCUUCAAGGAAUGAGAUUUAUGCUGUGGAUAUGGCAGGACAUUGUCUACCAGUGGAUUUUGCAUGGGCAAGUCAUAACAAUAACCAUUGUAACCAUACAUUGUUCGAAAACUCCAAGACAAAUGAUCAUUCAUCAGAAAGCAGCUCAACGAAUGAGUCAUAUCAUUCCUCAAAUCAAGGAAAGAGAGAAGAAAAUAAAUGUGACCAACCUGGUGGAGAUAACUCUUCAUUCCAUGCUACAACUCAUCCUCAGGCAACCACUGGCCCAUUCAGUAUGAGUUUCUCAGUUUCAGAUGUGCGUGGAGGUGGACGACCAUAUGGUACCACAUAUGCUUACGCGACAGCUUCAACAAAUCAAACUCAAAAUAUAUUUAAACAAUGUCAAAGCCAAACACCAUUUACAAACACAACACAGGCAACGUCUCCAAAUCAAACCCAAUUUGGUAGUUCAUUUAACUACAACAUGUCUUCAUCAGCAAAUGAAACACACACUGGAUUUGAACAACGCAAAAACCAAGCACCAUUUUCAGACACAACUCGGGCAUCUUCUACAGAUCAACCUCAGGUUGGUACUACAUUUAAUCACGGGACGACUUCUUCAACAGAUACAGCUCAGAAUGAUUUCAAACAAUGUGAAAGCCCAACCUCAUCUUCAGACACUACACAGACGUCAUCUUCAAAUCGACAUGGAGACCCCAUUGGAGCAGCUGUCCAUAUUCUUCCAGAGACUCUUGUCAAUGGAGCCAUCAGUGUUGCAUCUCAAGCUUACACCACAGCCCGUGCUGUUUUAAGCAACUUACGUUCAAGGCCUUCCGAGGAAUUUUCAGAGUGGUACUGGAAUGAGACUGCAGGCAGUUGGUCAGCACAGCCUGACAGGUCAACAACAGAGUGCUUGAACAUUCUUUUAGAAAUGGGUUUCGUUAACAAAAACUUGAAUGUGUUGCUACUCCAACGUUAUGACAAUGACAUAGCCAAGGUUGUGGCUGAAUUGUUGGCUUACAAGGACAACUCUGGCUUCAGUGGCAAUAGACAAAUGCAAUAACUGUUCACAAAAAUGGUGUCUUGGGAAAUAUAAUGUAACUUCAAAUCAUUUACUUUCUUCAACGAUGUUAUCACAGAAGAAGACUAAUAUUAAAACAGUCAGUUGAAAAUGAUAGGAAAGGUGAGGGUUUCAUAUAAAUGCAAAAUUGCUGGACAACAGUUCUGCAGAACAAAUUAAAAGAAACAGUGACUGAAGAUGAAAAAUUAAAAUUGGUAUGUUUUAUUUUAAAUGUGACGUAACAUGUUGCCACCUGCAAGUGGCAACUGGUGUUAUAUCAGAACAUUGAGUACAUCAUGCAACAAGAAAUGAAACUGAGAUAUACAUUUAUAUUUUAAUAUUUAAAUUGCAAAUUUUUUUUUUUUUUUAGAUUAAUUUGAACAGAAGAGCAGAUGUUACAUGUAAUGGAAGUGUUUUUCCAGUAUCUGUGAACCUCUCUUUAGAAGUAGCAUAUAUGUUGGGGGAAUAAGAAUAUUGUAGGAUUUUAAUUUGUUUUAUGUAUGUUCACAUCAGUUGGAUGCUUCAUUUGAUGCCUACUUGGUUGUAAAAUGCUUCAUGCUGUGGAAUAUAUCCCAGCAAUUUUGAUGUUUAGAAGUUACUACAUUUAAUACAGAACUGUAUUACAACUAGUACUGUGUUAUCUGUAAUUAAGUGAAAUAUUCAUCUGAAAAAGAAUUCUGAUACUGUAACAGUAUGAUUUGUUCUUUCAGUGGUAUAAUAUUCUUGACAUCUGCAAGAUAGAGACUAUUAUAUAUGAAAGACAAACAUUUGGAUAAAACUCCAAUUAAAUAUAUUAGUUAUAUAUGUAAAAUGUUAAAUUUUUGCUUAUUUGUAACGUAUUAAACAUCAUUAAUGUGAAGCAGCAGGUAAAUGCUUUGGAAUGUUCAAGCUUUAAUUGUUUUGUAGUAAUGUAUCUUAUAAACAAACCUGGAAGUAGGUAUGGUGAAGGAAACAGUAUAUGUCCACAGACAUGUAAUAUACUCAUAUAAUAAUAAAUUGUUACAUUAUGUGAAAACUAGCAGAUUUUCUUGAAGAAUCAUAAAGUUGGAUCCUAUUGCGACUGCAGUGAAAUGUGUAAAUGGUGUUUCAUUAAUCACUUUGCUGAAGUAUUUAAAAGAAACCUGAGUGAAAAGAAUUGUGCAUAUAAUCAUUAAACUAUCACCUGUGCAUCACAUUACUAUGAUGGCAUUUGCAUAGGUCUGGCUGGCCAAACUUCACACUGUUGUUAUAUAAAUACCAUUAUUCGUAAGCUCAUAUCCGGCUGAUAAUGCCAUAGUAGUUGGAGAUUUAUAUCCUGUGUCCCUGGAUGACAGAAGUUAGUUGAAUACUGAAAUUUAAGUACUAGAGCAACACAGAUUCACCUUGCUGUAUAGACUUCAUCAGAAUGAUUGAUUAGUGUUUAUUAAUGUAAUCUGUUUGUGGAAGUUUAAUCAGUUAUUUUGAUGAUGUAUAAACCUGCAGUUAUGCAGUUGCUAUAAAAUAUUCUCAACUUCGAGUAAUCUCAUUUAGGCAAGGGGUUAAUUUUUUCUUGUACAGUAUAUUGUUUCAUUGCCGGUGAAUAAAUGAACAUAAAAUGUUCAGGAGCACUGUUACAUCUAAUGGCAAGAGUGAGCCACAUAUGCAGUCAAACACAGUAUACUAACAAAACUGUUAUAAAAGAUUUCUUGUCUUGUUUAGUGUCUAUAGUGCUACAGCAUGUGUGUUGAAACUGGCAGAAGUAGAUGUUGCUGAAAUCUUUUACAUCUUUGUAACAGUAGAUAGAUAGUACAUGGUAGGUUUGCACAAUAGAAUGCAACUUGACACAUGGUGGCAUAACACAUCUCAGAUUCAGCAAAGAUAUUAGUAGAUCUCCAAUAUAAAGCAUUGUUUAGACAGUCUGUCCUUCAAAUAAAUUAUUUUAGAACUUUUUUAAGUUAUUCCUUGAAUGUAUGUGUAAAUGUCCAGGGAAUGUAGGUAUUACCACUGCAGAUAUGUAUUGUAUAGCAUUUAGUUUGUAGUUGUGUUGUUUUGGGUUUAAUUACCGACACGCUGCUUAUGGUGUUGGUAUCCCAAGUGUUUUUGACUCUUUGAGGCAGUGAGGUUUGUAAUAAUACUAAUUUUAUUUGUAAUUUUAAGUUUGGCUUGAUGUUACCAGUUCUUGUUAUACACAAACAGAGAAAUUAAUUUGUGUUUCAGAAAUUUUAUUGAAAUUACUUUGGGCAGUUGAUAGUUAUGUCAUCAUAACUAGUAAUUCCCUCCUUCCAUGACCUUAACUGGAAUCUUGUUGGAAGAAAGAUAGUUCAAAGUAUGCUCAUUUUUAUAAUCUCCCUUACAUUCAUUACUAAAAGCAAAUGAGUUCUAUCUUAAUGUCUUCACAAAAUUUUUCUUCUAAUACUAUGCUUGUAGUAAAUUUUCUGUAAGAAAUGUUGUUUCAUGGAUGCUGUUGUUAGCAAUUAUGAUAUUGUCUACAUCAGUACUUAGAAAAGUCUUUUCUAUACAGAAUUCAUCCUGAUUCAGAUCUCUGUUUUCUAAGAACAAGCAAAUCUUGGAGCAAAGGUUCAUUUGAGUGUGUUGUUUGGAAUGCCAUGUACGGAAGGCUUGUGACGCCCUAUGGAAAUGAGUAAAUGUGUGAUGAAAUGAUAGUAUGCUUGAUUUAGUUGAUAGUAAACACAGCUUUUGCAUUAGUGUAAUGUUACUUGUCAAGUUGCAGAUAUGUAGAACUUGAAAUAAUAUUGUAACCUAUAUUGUAAUAUAAUAACAUGGUAAUAAAAUUUGUAAAUGGUUGUGGUACAAACCACAUGUUUAUCACAUGAACAUUGUAUAAACUAUAUCAGUAAAUGUCUGGAAUAUAUUACAGCAUAAUCCAUUUUUGGAAUGGGUAUAUAUUUAUUGGUAGAGAAGAGGAUUUCUGAAGUACGGUAGUGAAUGUUAUAGUUGUGCGUGUUCAUAUAAUGUAAUUAAUGUUCAGAAUAAAAUUACAUGGUAGAAUCA